RNAcentral lists this unclassified non-coding RNA (244 nucleotides) under Hevea brasiliensis (rubber tree). The record is from RNAcentral. Lineage: Eukaryota; Viridiplantae; Streptophyta; Magnoliopsida; Malpighiales; Euphorbiaceae.
GGACAAUGUAAGUCUUUAUGUGGGUAUAUAUCCGGUCACACAAAAUGGUUUCUUUUACCCAUUUAUUUUUAUAUUUUCAUUUUUCUCCUGAGGAUGGUUUGUUGUCAAUAUUGCCUCAUGGUGACUAAACUUGCUAUUAAAGGUGGAGAAACACUAAGCCUCAAGUCAGUUUUGGUUUUCUAUGUUUUGAUUGAUGAACAUUUCUCCAGUUUUGGCCAUUUUUUUUUAUGAUUCAGAAUGCGGA